UACGGAGGGUGCAAGCGUUAUCCGGAUUCACUGGGUUUAAAGGGUGCGUAGGCGGGUUGGUAAGUCAGUGGUGAAAUACUUUCGCUUAACGAAGGAACUGCCAUUGAUACUAUCAAUCUUGAAUGUAGUGGAGGUAGGCGGAAUGCGUCAUGUAGCGGUAAAAUGCUUAGAUAUGACGCAGAACACCAAUUGCGAAGGCAGCUUGCUACACUACUAUUGACACUGAGGCACGAAAGCGUGGGGAUCAAACAGG
This 253-nucleotide ribosomal RNA is filed under the name uncultured bacterium. RNAcentral's name for it is "partial 16S ribosomal RNA". It matches the Rfam family "Bacterial small subunit ribosomal RNA", at positions 524 to 776 of the family's 1533-position model. The record is from RNAcentral.